RNAcentral lists this signal recognition particle RNA (98 nucleotides) under Clostridia bacterium. RNAcentral describes it as "signal recognition particle sRNA small type". It matches the Rfam family "Bacterial small signal recognition particle RNA". From Rfam's summary of the family: The signal recognition particle (SRP) is a universally conserved ribonucleoprotein involved in the co-translational targeting of proteins to membranes. Archaeal SRP consists of a 7S RNA and homologues of the eukaryotic SRP19 and SRP54 proteins. Lineage: Bacteria; Bacillati; Bacillota; Clostridia. The record is from RNAcentral.
GGGCGGGUCCUGUGCAACGGGACGCUGUGAACCAUGUCAGGCGGGGAACCGAGCAGCAUUAAGCAGUAUUUCCGUGUGCCGCAGUAAAUCGGCUCAUU